Schistocerca serialis cubense is the source of this 787-nucleotide long non-coding RNA. RefSeq lists it as uncharacterized. The transcript has 3 exons. The record is from RefSeq and is a predicted model, not a curated record. NCBI's taxonomy places the organism in Eukaryota, Metazoa, Arthropoda, Insecta, Orthoptera, Acrididae.
GUCAGCGUUUCAUGCCAGUAUUAAGUGCACUUCUACACAAUAAGUAAAUGAAAUAGCUACGUUCAACUCAUAUCUACGCAAAAGAAAGGACAAAGAAAGCCCUGGUCGCCGUGGCGCAUGCGCGCUACGGCCCUCGGGAGUCGCGUUACCAGCCCACGGAGGACCGGGAGCAGCCGUCAACGGCAGAGAGGCGGCACAGUCCCAGAGCGGUCCGGCGCCGCUCAGAAGACGACGGUUCCGCCUCGUCAGAGUCGCAGGAAAUGUCGUCCACGGAGCUACCGUGCCCUAAAGUUUGUCCACUUAUCUACGCACCAGUGUGCGUCGAAGACAUCAACCACGAUUACCACUUGUUCGAUGAUGAGUGUGAGGUGCGCAAGUGCGCCUGUGACACAGGGUUCGUUUACAAGUUUGUACCAAGGGAGAUGUGUAAAGGACCAAUGUCACCCUGUCCACUGCAGCCAAAAUCUUCCCGGCGUCUUGAUGUGGAGGAAGACGCUGAAAUAGAAGACUCGUCCUCCAGCGAGUAACGUCCGAGUGGCUGUCCUGACGACAAGAAAUCUUCGUAAAGUAGAAAAAUGAUUAGUGUGCUUAGAGGUACCAAGAAAAUACGAGAGCAGAAGAACUUACCUCAUGUACUCGCAACAAAACUACCUGAAUAACCUCAGCAACGUUUCUGCUUUAUUGAUUCGACCACCAAAUACAAUAAAUCAAAUCAGAUUUUAUUUUAUAUUACUUGCUAUUUACAUAAAUUUUUGUGCCCUUUUUUAUCAAUUUCUUAUUGUGUAAU